CAUAGCUGAGAAGAAACCAACAGGGAUUGCCUCAGUAACGGCGAGUGAAGCGGCAAAAGCUCAAAUUUGAAAUCUAGCACCUCCGGUGUUCGAGUUGUAAUUUGAAGAUGGUAACUAUGGGUUUGGCUCUUGUCUAUGUUUCUUGGAACAGGACGUCAUAGAGGGUGAGAAUCCCGUCUGAUGAGAUGCCCAUUCCUAUGUAAGGUGCUAUCGAAGAGUCGAGUUGUUUGGGAAUGCAGCUCUAAGUGGGUGGUAAAUUCCAUCUAAAGCUAAAUAUUGGCGAGAGACCGAUAGCGAACAAGUACAGUGAUGGAAAGAUGAAAAGAACUUUGAAAAGAGAGUGAAAAAGUACGUGAAAUUGUUGAAAGGGAAGGGCAUUAGAUCAGACUUGGUGUUUUACGAUUAUCUUCUCUUCUUGAGUUGUGCACUCGUAUUUCACUGGGCCAGCAUCGAUUCGGAUGGCAAGAUAAUGGCAGUUGAAUGUGGCUUCACUUCGGUGGAGUGUUAUAGCUUCUGCUGAUAUUGCCUGUCUGGAUCGAGGGCUGCGUCUUUUGACUAGGAUGCUGCCGUAAUGAUCUAUUGCGCCGUCUGACAAACAA
RNAcentral lists this ribosomal RNA (599 nucleotides) under Pichia sp. YS31. Its description in RNAcentral is "eukaryotic LSU rRNA". It matches the Rfam family "Eukaryotic large subunit ribosomal RNA", at positions 49 to 662 of the family's 3401-position model. The record is from RNAcentral. Lineage: Eukaryota; Fungi; Ascomycota; Pichiomycetes; Pichiales; Pichiaceae.